AUUGAACGCUGGCGGCAUGCUUUACACAUGCAAGUCGAACGGUAACAGGGAGCUUGCUCCGCUGACGAGUGGCGAACGGGUGAGUAAUGCAUCGGAACGUACCCAGUCGUGGGGGAUAACGUAGCGAAGUUACGCUAAUACCGCAUACGUCCUGAGGGAGAAAGCGGGGGACCGUAAGGCCUCGCGCGAUUGGAGCGGCCGAUGUCGGAUUAGCUAGUUGGUAGGGUAAAGGCCUACCAAGGCGACGAUCCGUAGCGGGUCUGAGAGGAUGAUCCGCCACACUGGGACUGAGACACGGCCCAGACUCCUACGGGAGGCAGCAGUGGGGAAUUUUGGACAAUGGGCGAAAGCCUGAUCCAGCCAUGCCGCGUGAGUGAAGAAGGCC
Molecule: ribosomal RNA, 385 nt
Filed under: uncultured bacterium
Lineage: Bacteria
Description: bacterial SSU rRNA
Rfam family: Bacterial small subunit ribosomal RNA
Source: RNAcentral